This 254-nucleotide ribosomal RNA is filed under the name uncultured bacterium. RNAcentral describes it as "partial 16S ribosomal RNA". It matches the Rfam family "Bacterial small subunit ribosomal RNA", at positions 524 to 776 of the family's 1533-position model. The record is from RNAcentral.
CACGUAGGGGGCAAGCGUUGUCCGGAAUCAUUGGGCGUAAAGAGCUCGUAGGCGGCUCAGUAAGUCGGGUGUGAAACCCUCAGGCUCAACCUGGGGACGCCACCCGAUACUGCUGUGGCUAGAGUCCAGUAGGGGAGUGUGGAAUUCCCGGUGUAGCGGUGAAAUGCGCAGAUAUCGGGAGGAACACCAGCGGCGAAGGCGGCACUCUGGGCUGGUACUGACGCUGAGGAGCGAAAGCGUAGGUAGCAAACAGG